Molecule: ribosomal RNA, 274 nt
Filed under: uncultured bacterium
Lineage: Bacteria
Description: partial 16S ribosomal RNA
Rfam family: Bacterial small subunit ribosomal RNA
Source: RNAcentral
AUACGGAGGGGGCUAGCGUUGUUCGGAAUUACUGGGCGUAAAGCGCACGUAGGCGGAUUAAAAAGUUAGAGGUGAAAUCCCAGGGCUUAACCCUGGAACUGCCUUUAAAACAAGUAGUCUAGAGUUCGAGAGAGGUGAGUGGAAUUCCAAGUGUAGAGGUGAAAUUCGUAGAUAUUUGGAGGAACACCAGUGGCGAAAGCGGCUCACUGGCUCGAUACUGACGCUGAGGUGCGAAAGCGUGGGGAGCAAACAGGAUUAGAAACCCUUGUAGUCC